Molecule: small nucleolar RNA, 107 nt
Organism: Hevea brasiliensis (rubber tree)
Lineage: Eukaryota; Viridiplantae; Streptophyta; Magnoliopsida; Malpighiales; Euphorbiaceae
Source: RefSeq, a predicted model, not a curated record
AUUUCAUAAUGUGGACAUCUCCAUUGAAGAUCCUUAUAUCUCAUCCAUGCUUCAUAAAGACUUUCAUCAUCUCUUAGUCGAAAAGAAGUUAGCUCAUUGCUCAAUUU